RNAcentral lists this ribosomal RNA (497 nucleotides) under uncultured bacterium. RNAcentral describes it as "partial 16S ribosomal RNA". It matches the Rfam family "Bacterial small subunit ribosomal RNA", at positions 28 to 507 of the family's 1533-position model. The record is from RNAcentral.
GAUGAACGCUAGCGGCGUGCCUAAUACAUGCAAGUCGAGCGAACAGACGAGGAGCUUGCUCCUCUGACGUUAGCGGCGGAAGGGUGAGUAACACGUGGAUAACCUACCUAUAAGACUGGGAUAACUUCGGGAAACCGGAGCUAAUACCGGAUAAUAUAUUGAACCGCAUGGUUCAAUAGUGAAAGACGGUUUUGCUGUCACUUAUAGAUGGAUCCGCGCCGCAUUAGCUAGUUGGUAAGGUAACGGCUUACCAAGGCAACGAUGCGUAGCCGACCUGAGAGGGUGAUCGGCCACACUGGAACUGAGACACGGUCCAGACUCCUACGGGAGGCAGCAGUAGGGAAUCUUCCGCAAUGGGCGAAAGCUUGACGGAGCAACGCCGCGUGAGUGAUGAAGGUCUUCGGAUCGUAAAACUCUGUUAUUAGGGAAGAACAAAUGUGUAAGUAACUAUGCACGUCUUGACGGUACCUACUCAGAAAGCCACGGCUAACUACGUG